AAAUGAAUAGACGGGGGCCCGCACAAGCAGCGGAGCAUGUGGUUUAAUUCGACGCAACGCGAAGAACCUUACCAGGUCUUGACAUCCAGUUAAAGCAUAUGAAAGUAUGUGUCUCUUCGGAGGAACUGAGACAGGUGGUGCAUGGUUGUCGUCAGCUCGUGUCGUGAGAUGUUGGGUUAAGUCCCGCAACGAGCGCAACCCUUGUAGAUAGUUACUAACGCGUAAAGGCGAGGACUCUAUAUAGACUGCCGUGGACAACACGGAGGAAGGUGGGGACGACGUCAAAUCAUCAUGCCCCUUAUGACCUGGGCUACACACGUGCUACAAUGGCCGACACAGAGAGGAGCAAAGCCGUAAGGUGGAGCAGAUCUCAAAAAAGCGGUCGAAGUUCAGAUUGUGGGCUGCAACCCGCCCACAUGAAGCAGGAGUUGCUAGUAAUCGCAGAUCAGCAUGCUGCGGUGAAUACGUUCCCGGGCCUUGUACACACCGCCCGU
This 494-nucleotide ribosomal RNA is filed under the name uncultured bacterium. RNAcentral describes it as "bacterial SSU rRNA". It matches the Rfam family "Bacterial small subunit ribosomal RNA", at positions 903 to 1397 of the family's 1533-position model. The record is from RNAcentral.